UAGUUUCAAAAACCCAAG
This 18-nucleotide small nuclear RNA is filed under the name Arabidopsis thaliana (thale cress). RNAcentral's name for it is "snRNA_01104". The record is from RNAcentral. Lineage: Eukaryota; Viridiplantae; Streptophyta; Magnoliopsida; Brassicales; Brassicaceae.